CUCAGAAUGAACGCUGGCGGCGUGCCUAACACAUGCAAGUCGGAUGUGCCGCAUGGUGCAUGGCAGACGGGUGAGUAACGCGUGGGAAACCUACCUCUUUGUGGGGAAUAACGCUCCGAAAGGAGUGGUAAUACCGCAUGAGACCGUUGGCUGGGACGCUGACGGUGAAACCUGGGGACCGUAAGGCCUGGGGCAAGGAGAGGGUCCUGCGUCUGAUUAGCUAGUUGGUGGGGUAACGGCCUACCAAGGCGACGAUCAGUAGCCGGCCUGAGAGGUGAUCGGCCACACUGGAACUGAGACACGGUCCAGACUCCUACGGGAGGCAGCAGUGGGGAAUUUUGCGCAAUGGGCGAAAGCCUGACGCAGCAACGCCGCGUGGGUGAUGAAGGUCUUCGGAUCGUAAAACCCUGUCGUCAGGGACGAAGGUCGGUCGUUGAAUAGGCGAUUGGCUUGACGGUACCUGGAGAGGAAGCCCCGGCUAACUCUGUGCCAGCAGCCGCGGUAAUACAGAGGGGGCAAGCGUUAUUCGGAAUUAUUGGGCGUAAAGGGCGCGUAGGCGGUUUUUUAAGUGAGAUGUGCAAUCCCCGAGCUUAACUUGGGAACUGCAUCUCAGACUGGAAGGCUAGAGUGCUGGAGAGGGUGGUAGAAUUCCACGUGUAGCGGUGAAAUGCGUAGAGAUGUGGAGGAAUACCAGUGGCGAAGGCGGCCACCUGGACAGUAACUGACGCUGAGGCGCGAAAGUGUGGGUAGCAAACAGGAUUAGAUACCCUGGUAGUCCACGCUGUAAACGAUGAACACUUGGUGUGGUGGGAGUUGACCCCUGCCGUGCCGUAGCUAACGCGAUAAGUGUUCCGCCUGGGGAGUACGGUCGCAAGGCU
This 878-nucleotide ribosomal RNA is filed under the name uncultured bacterium. RNAcentral describes it as "bacterial SSU rRNA". It matches the Rfam family "Bacterial small subunit ribosomal RNA", at positions 23 to 895 of the family's 1533-position model. The record is from RNAcentral.